RNAcentral lists this ribosomal RNA (470 nucleotides) under uncultured bacterium. RNAcentral describes it as "bacterial SSU rRNA". It matches the Rfam family "Bacterial small subunit ribosomal RNA", at positions 328 to 794 of the family's 1533-position model. The record is from RNAcentral.
UUCCCAGACUCCUACGGGAGGCAGCAGUGAGGAAUAUUGGUCAAUGGGCGAGAGCCUGGACCAGCCAAGUCGCGUGAAGGAUGAAGGAUCUAUGGUUUGUAAACUUCUUUUAUGUGGGAAUAAAGUGAGGAACGUGUUCCUUUUUGUAUGUACCAUAUGAAUAAGCAUCGGCUAACUCCGUGCCAGCAGCCGCGGUAAUACGGAGGAUGCGAGCGUUAUCCGGAUUUAUUGGGUUUAAAGGGUGCGUAGGCUGUGAGGUAAGUCAGCGGUGAAAUGCCCCCGCUCAACGGGGUGAAGUGCCAUUGAUACUGCCUUGCUGGAAUGCGGAUGCCGUGGGAGGAAUGUGUGGUGUAGCGGUGAAAUGCAUAGAUAUCACACAGAACACCGAUUGCGAAGGCAUCUCACGAAUCCGCGAUUGACGCUGAUGCACGAAAGCGUGGGUAUCAAACAGGAUUAGAUACCCUAGUAGA